Molecule: ribosomal RNA, 382 nt
Filed under: uncultured eukaryote
Lineage: Eukaryota
Description: partial 18S ribosomal RNA
Rfam family: Eukaryotic small subunit ribosomal RNA
Source: RNAcentral
UGUAAGCGUAUACCAAAGUUGUUGCAGUUAAAACGCCCGUAGUCGGAAUUUGGCAGUUCCGGAAGUGUGCACGUCGUGUGCGCACUUUGCGGGGACUGCUUUUGUGGUCUUGCGUAGGAUGAGGCACUUUCAUUAGUGAACGUCCUCACGCAACCACUCUUUACUGUGAGAAAAUCAGAGUGCUCAAAGCAGGCAUUUGCCGUGAAUGUAUUAGCAUGGAAUAAUAGAAUAGGACUCGGUUCUAUUUUGUUGGUUUGUUGGGACUGAGUAAUGAUUAAGAGGGACAGUUGGGGGCAUUUGUAUUCCGGCGCUAGAGGUGAAAUUCUUAGAUUGCCGGAAGACAAACUGCUGCGAAAGCGUCUGCCAAGGAUGUUUUCAUUGA